AGCACCUUUAAAUCAGUCCCGUGAGACUGGCAAGGUAACGUGAUUGGACCCGGAUCUGUAGCUGCGGCUGCUGCUUCCGUAUGUCCUUUAGAGCUUAGUGACCCGGCGUGCGUAGCCGCGGUUUUGAGACUCCUUGCCCAAGUUUUAUCGGCAGGGAGUUUUUUUU
Molecule: non-coding RNA, 166 nt
Organism: Paenibacillus sp. TCA20
Lineage: Bacteria; Bacillati; Bacillota; Bacilli; Caryophanales; Paenibacillaceae
Source: Rfam